AACUAUGUGGUUAGGAAGCAGGCUUCUUAGCAUACGGCCACACCUUAAGAGACAUGUUGUUUGUGGAAACGCAAGUAGUGUUGCAUUAAAUGCUUAUAAAUUCUAUCUAGAGAUUAUUGUUAUUAUUAUAUGUAUCCUACAUUUUAUCAGUCCAGCUCAAAUCAACCCCGAAAAACUGGUUCCGGCAUAACAGAAUAGGAGCUUUAUUUGCUUAUUCAAAACGUUUCCCAUGAACAAAUUUAAAAUAUUCUCGCGCAUGUGUGUGUGUGUGUGUUGAUAAUUUCCCACGGAAUAACCUGUUGUUCAAGUCUUGCACCUGAAUAGAGUACACAUAAGUCAAAAACUUUCUUCUAAUAAAAAAAAAAAGCAUAUUUCUAGUGAUUUUACAGUGGCAAAGUUAUAUAAAUCGCAGUAAAAAAUUCAUAAAACAAAAUAAACUAUUUUACCUUGAGUCAAAAGUUGUUCUGCUUAUUUUCCGGGAUUUCAUUACUUAACUCUCCUAUUGCUGACGUAUUUCAAGCAAGCAGCCGGAAUUUACGGACAUGGAAGUCUUAAGCGGCAUAGGAAUGGAGUUGCCUCUUGAUAGUCCGCCGGACUAUACGGAAAUAAUUUAACCAUCUGCCCCCCCCCAAUAUACAGGAACUGAAUAUCAGGAAACUGAGUUUCCGCAAACUGAGCAACCCCAGAUUGGGGUUCUUCCGGCACUUCGAUAUACACAGGCUCCUGGGCAUCGGCCACCAAUAAGCAAUCUCCUACCAGCUGGAUAUCCCCCACCAACUACACAUCAUGCACCAGUUACAGAUCUUCCACCUCCUGGGUACACCCCAUCCUAUCCCGUGCAACAACAACCAUAUGUACAAACCCAUGUACAACAACAACAACAACAACAACAACAACAACAACAACAACAACACCAGCAACAGCAACAAAGUGUGAUCAUAACCACCCAACAGCCACAACACAUCUACACUGAAAAUAAGAUGGUAACAGCAAUUCUUGUCACCCUUUUCUGCUUUUUGCCAACAGGCAUUCCUGCUAUAAUAUAUGCAGAUAAAGCCAAUACAUUGUUUCAAUGUGGUAAUACAACGAGAGCAACGCUGGCUAAUAAAAAAGCAACACAUCAGAAUAUCCAUCGUCGCUGAUAUUAUUACGUCUAUUGGUUGCACUGCAGCAAUAAUGGCAGUAAUCGUUAAAGCUACAACUAGUACACAUGCUGCCAUAAGCAACUGGUCAAAUGAUUAUGAUUAUGUUAUCAAUUAAAUAGAGUAUGUUUUGUUAAAUACAUUGAGAGCUUCAAUCAGAAAAUGACAUAUUUCAUAAUAUUUCAUAAUAUAUUUUGCAAUUCGGAAUACUGAAAAAUGGAUAUAUUCUGACCAGUAUAUCUGUGUAGCUAUAGCCUAAUAGCAGGGACCGAUAAUGGAAUAAAAAAUAUUGGAGUUUAAAUAGUUUUCUGCGCCACAGCAGACAUUUCUUCUGUCCGAUAUACUCUCAGCCACUGAAAUAUACUGAGUGCUAGAACUGUUGUUUUCUUUGUUUUUUGUUUUGUUUGCAUUUCUUUCAUUUUCUCAUCUCUAAAAAUCUACAUCUAAAACAUCAAUUUAUUUUAUGUAAUUUUGAAACAAAUUAAAAAAGUAUACUUCCUUUUUUUAAAAAAUAUUAACUUUUAUAUAACUGACUUUUUUGAACUAGCAACUUGAAUAUUUUGUAAAGACAAAAUCAGCUGUAUACGUCAACACUAUUAUAGGUAACAGUAAUUUUAAUGGGCAUAACUACAGAGUUGUACCCACCAGACUUUGGAAGGUCAUAACUUUUAGAAAAAUGAAUAUUUUUUUAAUGAAAUUUUCUAUGCGUAUAGUAUUUAUUAUGUAGAUUCCGAAUAUACAAAAAUUUCUGGUGAAAGUGUUUUGGAAUGGGGGUGGGGGAUAAUUUUUGGAAAUUCCAACAGAGUCCACUUAAAUUCUUCUUAACUUCCAGGAAAAUUAAUAUUUUUCCGUGAAAUUUUCUACAAAUAUACCUUGAUGUAUGUACAUUUCGAGCAUGUAGGAAUUUUGAAGGAAACAACUGCAGGUUAUUUUUGAGAAGUGUUCCCCACUCGGUGAUGUUUCGGACCAAGUCGUCCAUAAUUGUUUCAUUUUUCUCUAUUAUGUGCGUAUGUGCAUCCGUAGAUUUGUAAUGAAGUAAUACGCUGCUUCUGUUCUCUUCUACUUCUCUACUAGAAACAUUUACUUUGGAAUUUACUUCUAUUGAGAAAAAAAAAUCGUGUGCAUGUUGUUUUUAACGUAAGUUUUCUUAUGACGGCUUCUCUUUUCUGCUUAUUACUUCAUUAGAAAUCUAAAAAUUGUCCCCCACCCCCAUUCCAAAACACUUUCACCAGAAAGUAUAUUCGGAAUCUACAUAAUAAAUACUAUAUGCAUAGAAAAUUUCAUUAAAAAAUAUUGAUU
Octopus bimaculoides (California two-spot octopus) is the source of this 2441-nucleotide long non-coding RNA. RefSeq lists it as uncharacterized. The record is from RefSeq and is a predicted model, not a curated record. NCBI's taxonomy places the organism in Eukaryota, Metazoa, Mollusca, Cephalopoda, Octopoda, Octopodidae.